This 221-nucleotide unclassified non-coding RNA is filed under the name plant metagenome. Its description in RNAcentral is "partial contains small subunit ribosomal RNA, internal transcribed spacer 1, and 5.8S ribosomal RNA". The stretch from base 173 to 221 matches the Rfam family "5.8S ribosomal RNA", at positions 1 to 49 of the family's 154-position model. The record is from RNAcentral.
UCUCCGUUGGUGAACCAGCGGAGGGAUCAUUAUCGAGUUUAUAACUCCCAAACCCUAUGUGAACUUACCACUUGUUGCUUCGGCGCGCGCUUCGGCGCCGCCGAGGACACUUAAACUCUUUGUUUUUAUAAGCAUUUCUGAGUGGCCGAAAGGCAAAAUACAAAUGAAUCAAAACUUUCAACAACGGAUCUCUUGGUUCUGGCAUCGAUGAAGAGCGCAGC